Molecule: ribosomal RNA, 508 nt
Filed under: uncultured bacterium
Lineage: Bacteria
Description: partial 16S ribosomal RNA
Rfam family: Bacterial small subunit ribosomal RNA
Source: RNAcentral
GAUGAACGCUAGCUACAGGCUUAACACAUGCAAGUCGAGGGGAAACGAUAGAGAAAGCUUGCUUUUUCUAGGCGUCGACCGGCGCACGGGUGAGUAACGCGUAUCCAACCUGCCCAUCACUUGGGGAUAACCUUGCGAAAGUAAGACUAAUACCCAAUGACGUCUCUAGAAGACAUCUGAAAGAGAUUAAAGAUUUAUCGGUGAUGGAUGGGGAUGCGUCUGAUUAGCUUGUUGGCGGGGUAACGGCCCACCAAGGCGACGAUCAGUAGGGGUUCUGAGAGGGGGGUCCCCCACAUUGGAACUGAGACACGGUCCAAACUCCUACGGGAGGCAGCAGUGAGGAAUAUUGGUCGAUGGGCGAGAGCCUGAACCAGCCAAGUAGCGUGCAGGAUGACGGCCCUAUGGGUUGUAAACUGCUUUUAUAAGGGAAUAAAGUGAGAGUCGUGACUCUUUUUGCAUGUACCUUAUGAAUAAGGACCGGCUAAUUCCGUGCCAGCAGCCGCAGUAA